This 439-nucleotide ribosomal RNA is filed under the name uncultured bacterium. Its description in RNAcentral is "partial 16S ribosomal RNA". It matches the Rfam family "Bacterial small subunit ribosomal RNA", at positions 339 to 795 of the family's 1533-position model. The record is from RNAcentral.
CUACGGGGCGCUGCAGUGAGGAAUAUUGCACAAUGGGGGGAACCCUGAUGCAGCAACGCCGCGUGGAGGAUGACGCAUUUCGGUGUGUAAACUCCUUUUAUAUGUCAAGAAAAUGACGGUAGCAUAUGAAUAAGCACCGGCUAACUCCGUGCCAGCAGUCGCGGUAAUACGGAGGGUGCAAGCGUUACUCGGAAUCACUGGGCGUAAAGGACGCGUAGGCGGGUUGGAAAGUCAGGUGUGAAAUCCUACAGCUUAACUGUAGAACUGCACUUGAAACUUCUAAUCUAGAGUAUGGGAGGGGGAGAUGGAAUUAGUGGUGUAGGGGUAAAAUCCGUAGAUAUCACUAGGAAUACCUAAAGCGAAGGCGAUCUCCUGGAACAUUACUGACGCUAAGGCGUGAAAGCGUGGGGAGCAAACAGGAUUAGAUACCCGUGUAGUC